Molecule: long non-coding RNA, 770 nt
Filed under: Musa acuminata (dwarf banana)
Lineage: Eukaryota; Viridiplantae; Streptophyta; Magnoliopsida; Zingiberales; Musaceae
Description: long non-coding RNA (MACU_LNC000052)
Source: RNAcentral
GGCAGCUUUAAGUCCUCCGGUGGAGAGCUUUACUCCUCGAUCUUAGCCUUCUUUCUCUGCUCUGUGGCAAAAGAGAAGGAAAAUAAUUGCUCCGGUAUCAGAUACGAAAUAUUCCUUCCUCGCAUGACCUGUCCAACGGAAAAAGCUCAAUACCGAAAGAUAAAAGGUUGUGGUCAGCACGAAGAGAACCACUCGACGGAGCCAUCCUUCUCAGAAACAUUUCGUCGAACACCCGUCCGACACUCGAUCAUGGUCUUCAUGCGUCGGAUUAGGCAAAAUGUCACUGACACACGAUCAUCAUACCCAAAAUUAAAAUAAUCGUUAUCCAGUACCAUAUGUUAUCAAUGGCCGUCGCCCUCCAUCAGCAACCCCAACAUCCAUUACCCAUUGCUGCUGCAAUCGUCCCAUUCCUUCCUUCACCGUCGCUGUCGCUUCAUUAUUGCUUCCCGUCAUCGCUAGUCUUGGAUUUAAUACCGUUCAUCGCCGACAGGUCCCAUCCAUCAUUUCAGACCAUUCACCGUCCACCUUCCGAACCCAUCGUCCUGGCUAACCCGUUGAUCCACUUCUAUUCGCAUCCGUGAAUUAUCCUUUUAGGAACACGUCGGUCGAGCAAAAUCGAAGAUGAUUAGGUUCCCGAGCAAGAACAGCAAUGUCAGGAGAAGGAGACGAACGAAUUGGUGGACCAGCAUGGUGUCCAGUUGCUUUACUCGCUGUCUUCUUCUUUGAUGCAGCUGGCGCGGCCGGCCGCGUGGGUACUGUGUUAGUCACCC